GGCGUGCCGCUGCAAACUGGCCUCUGGGCCGGGGGCGAGCAGCCCCCGGGAGGCCGAGUGCAUCUGUUGGACCGUGCGAGGAGAAGAAAAAAAAUAUCGGCCAGAGGAGAGGAACUAACCGAACAUUCUUCCUCCCUACCUUAUAGAGGGGAGUGGUCAUCUACACUAAAGCAAAGUGUUAGGCGCGUCCGUGCGAAGAGACCACCAAACAGGCUUUGUGUUCCUUAUCACAGGAAGAAAAUUUUCCUUGACCUUUAGGUGCUUUUAUAUUCAUCUCAAAAACAAAAUUCUGAACUCAGGACUUGGCAAGCUGAAGUGCAAUGGCGCAAUCUCAGCUCACUGCAACCUCCGCCUCCCGGGUUCAAGCGAUUCUCCUGCCUCAGCCUCCUGAGUAGCUGACAUUAUAGGCACCUGCCACCACGCCCAGCUAAUUUUUGUAUUUUUAGUAGAGAUGGGGUUUCACCAUAUUGGGCAGGCUCGUCUUGAACUCCUGACCUCGUGAUCCGCCCACCUUAGCCUCCCAAAAUGCUGAGAUUGGAGGUGUGAGCCACCGCGCCUGGCCAGUGUGUCCUUUCUUAAUUGACAGUGACAUUAUAUCUGCAAAAUAGGCUUCAUACCUACUGUGUUAGUUUUAGUUUCCUAGGCCUGCUGUAACAAAGCACCACAAAUUGGGUAGCUUAGAAUAACAGAAAUUGUUUGAUAGUUAUAAAUAAAGGUCAGAUGUCUAAAACCAAAGUGUUGGCAGGGCCGUCCCUCUGAAGGCACUGAAAAAAAAAUUUCCAGUCCUUCUAAUUUCUUGUGGUUCCUUAACUUGUGGCAGCAUAACUCCAGUCUUCACAUGAAGUUCUUCCU
Molecule: long non-coding RNA, 852 nt
Filed under: Homo sapiens (human)
Lineage: Eukaryota; Metazoa; Chordata; Mammalia; Primates; Hominidae
Description: non-protein coding OIP5-AS1:17
Source: RNAcentral